GAUCACCUCCUUUGGAGUCUGGGAUUCGCAUACAUCAGUUUUUGAAGGAGUUUUGAGCACCACUUUACUUGACAAGUCACCCAUAUCUAUGCCAUCCAGUAGAUGGGUAUUCUGCACAUCGAUAUUUAUUGCGGAUUGUUUUGCAAUUUUAAUGUUCCCGGAUUUAAUUUAUUGAACACUUAAGUGGGGUUAUAUACACUAUCAUAUCUAUUUAGAAAUUAAAUUUUGUGUACGAGUAUGAUUAAUUAGUCAUUCAUGAUAUAGUUUUCAAAAUGAUACAAGAACGGUGCUGAUGUACAUAGAUAUUAAUCACUAUCUUAAAACUUUAUUAUUCUAAUAUUUAUAACUAGUAUAUAGAAAAUUUUGCUGGUAGUUUGCAUUAAACUGAGUAUGUACUGGACUUGCUGUUGGACCUAACUACUUCAUGACUUCAAAUUUUACAUUUUCUUUUGUUAUAAAUGAGUAAUUGAAGGGAACAAGUUCUCAAUAUUAUUAGCUCAAUGGUGGAUAUCAAGGCAAUAUAAACUGUCCCUAAAAUCAUUUGGCCAAAAUAAAAAAAGUCGCUUCAUUUUUGUGAUUUGUAAAUAUUCUACUUUUACCAGUGUUUGUCUUGGAGUAUAGUGCAAAUGUGGAAGCUAUCUAGCUGCACAAGUUAAAUGCUGAUAAAAGCCCUUUCCAGCUAACCUUUGUUAAUCAGGUGAAGCGAUGUGCAGAGAUGUCAAGAAAGCUGCGCUUUUUUAAGGAUCAAAUCAGUAAAGCUGGUCUGCUUGGGUCUAUACGUCCAGUUUCACAACCAGAUAUUGAGUUGGAGGAAUUAGAGUUUCAACUUGGUGAGCACGAACAUGAGCUAAUUGAAAUGAACUCUAAUAGUGAAAGACUUCGACAAUCAUACAAUGAGCUCCUGGAGUUCAAGAUGGUAUUACAAAAGGGGUUUUAAUCUUUCAGGGGUUUUGUUUGUGUUGGAGUUUCUGAUCGUAGUGAUCAAUUGGCCUGGUUUGAGUUUCGCAGCAGGAGAUAGUUUCUCUGUACGAGAGGUUCUGUCAGCUCGAUCAUAGUGGCGGAGGUACGUGACCUAAGGGCUGUAAGACAUCAUUUUGCUCUUUGUGCUGGCUUGCUGUAAGAAAAUGGAUCCUUAUUUACUGGCUAUCAUUUUCAUGGAUGCCCACAAUAGCAAAGACAAAUUUAAUCAUGCUUUGGGUUAUGCAUAUAUACUCACGCACCCCGGAAUACCUUCCGUCUUCGAUGACCACUUCUAUGAUUCGGGUGAUUCCAUUCAUGAUCAGAUUGUGAAACUGGUACAGCAGUAUGGCUAGCUAGUUCUUUUAUUAACUUGUGUCUAGUAGAAAUUCUUCCUUCUUUAAGCAUUUGGACUUGUCUGCAUGUCCAGAUUAGUAGAUAUGGGUCAUUUUGAAUUGAUAUUCAUGAUUAGGUUUGUGUA
Long non-coding RNA from Rosa rugosa (rugosa rose), 1438 nucleotides. RefSeq lists it as uncharacterized. The transcript has 8 exons. The record is from RefSeq and is a predicted model, not a curated record. Lineage: Eukaryota; Viridiplantae; Streptophyta; Magnoliopsida; Rosales; Rosaceae.